UGCAGGACUAGUCCCUUUAGUGAGGGUUAAUUCUGAGCUUGGCGUAAUCAUGGUCAUAGCUGUUUCCUGAGGAGGGGGAUAACCCGUUGAAAGACGGACUAAUACCGCAUAAUACUGAAUAACCGCAUGGUUAAUUAGUUAAACAUUUAUGGCUUACAGAUGGGCAUGCGCAUGAUUAGCUAGUUGGUGAGGUAACGGCUCACCAAGGCAACGAUCAUUAGGGGUUCUGAGAGGAAGGUCCCCCACACUGGUACUGAGACACGGACCAGACUCCUACGGGAGGCAGCAGUGAGGAAUAUUGGUCAAUGGGCGAGAGCCUGAACCAGCCAAGUCGCGUGAAGGAUGAAGGUUUUAUGAAUUGUAAACUUCUUUUGCAGGGUAAUAAAGUACGGUACGUGUACCGUUUUGUAUGUACUCUGCGAAUAAGGAUCGGCUAACUCCGUGCCAGCAGCCGCGGUAAUACGGAGGAUCCAAGCGUUAUCCGGAUUUAUUGGGUUUAAAGGGUGCGCAGGCGGGUUGAUAAGUCAGCGGUGAAAGUUUGCAGCUUAACUGUAAAAUUGCCGUUGAAACUGUCGAUCUUGAGUGCAAAUGAGGUAAGCGGAAUGUGUUGUGUAGCGGUGAAAUGCUUAGAUAUAACACAGAACACCGAUUGCGAAGGCAGCUUACUGGGAUGCAACUGACGCUCAUGCACGAAAGCGUGGGGAUCAAACAGGAUUAGAUACCCUGGUAGUCCACGCAGUAAACGAUGAAUACUAACUGUUUGCGAUAUACAGUAAGCGGUACAGCGAAA
Molecule: ribosomal RNA, 790 nt
Filed under: uncultured Bacteroidota bacterium
Lineage: Bacteria; Pseudomonadati; Bacteroidota
Description: bacterial SSU rRNA
Rfam family: Bacterial small subunit ribosomal RNA
Source: RNAcentral